This 1040-nucleotide long non-coding RNA is filed under the name Homo sapiens (human). RNAcentral's name for it is "non-protein coding lnc-TUBA3C-9:4". The record is from RNAcentral. Lineage: Eukaryota; Metazoa; Chordata; Mammalia; Primates; Hominidae.
UGGAAGAGGAGGAGGCCCCCGACAUCGGCAUAUACCACUGCCCAAACUAUGAGAAAACCCAUGUGAAGUCCACCUUGUUAAAGACAUAGUGGCCCAUGUGCCGGACAGUCAGCUCACGCUGGGCCACAUGGAGGAGCACAGCUUCACCGAGCCCAUCCUCAUCCCUAAGAAAGACGGGCUGGGCUUGGCUGUCCCGGCCCCCACGUUCCAUGCAGGCCAGGCGUCCUGUGUUUUCAUUUGCUAAUCUGGCCACCCUCGCUAAGGCCUGUCACCUGGCCACCUCGCAGCAUCACCAGGUCAGAGGAAGAGUGGUCGGGGCACUUCACUGAGCCAAGAGAAAAGCAGGGGACAUCAAAAAGGGAGUCCCAGGUUCCCUCACCACCUUCCUGUCCCACCCCAAGAAUGUCCAGCUUCGUGGAGCCACCUGACACCAUGAAGAAACUGUUCCGGGUAGAAAACUGGCCAGAUGAUGCAUUGCUGGCCAAGCCCAAAGUGACCAAGUCCUGCCUGAUCUGUGUGAAGGACAGCUACACCGACUUCCACAUCGACUGUGGGGGCGCCUCCGCCUGGUACCACGUGCUCAAGGGGGAGAAGACCUUCUAUCUCAUCAGGCUGGCCUCGGUCGACAUCUCCUGUAUGAGUGCUGAUAGUCUGCCGCUAACCACAGCGAGAUGUUCUUUGCUGACCAGGUUCACAAAUGCUACAAUUGCAUCGUCAAGCAGGGCCAGACCCUCUUCAUCCCCUCAGGCACUGACAGAGCUCUCGUGGGCCCCGAGCCCUGCAGCCUCCCAGGGCGGUUGUCCCCUGGUCCACUUCAGCUAUGCAGGGCCCAGUGGGGAAGCCUGAGCUGGUGUGUCUGGGGCUUGGACCCACCCCCAUCGUCGCCUGCUUGAUGGUCAGUGCACUGAGAAUGGCUCUUUGGUGGCUUCCAGAGCAUAUGAAGUUGAAAAGAGGUUGAAACUAGGCAGCCUGACUCAGUUUCCCAACUUCAAAACUGCCUGCUGGUACAUGGGGAAGCACCUGCUGGAGGCGUUCAAAGG